UACGUAGGGCGCAAGCGUUAUCCGGGAUUAUUGGGCGUAAAGAGCUCGUAGGCGGUUUGUCGCGUCUGCCGUGAAAGUCCGGGGCUCAACUCCGGAUCUGCGGUGGGUACGGGCAGACUAGAGUGAUGUAGGGGAGACUGGAAUUCCUGGUGUAGCGGUGAAAUGCGCAGAUAUCAGGAGGAACACCGAUGGCGAAGGCAGGUCUCUGGGCAUUAACUGACGCUGAGGAGCGAAAGCAUGGGGAGCAAACAGG
Molecule: ribosomal RNA, 253 nt
Filed under: uncultured bacterium
Lineage: Bacteria
Description: partial 16S ribosomal RNA
Rfam family: Bacterial small subunit ribosomal RNA
Source: RNAcentral